This 459-nucleotide ribosomal RNA is filed under the name uncultured bacterium. RNAcentral describes it as "partial 16S ribosomal RNA". It matches the Rfam family "Bacterial small subunit ribosomal RNA", at positions 338 to 795 of the family's 1533-position model. The record is from RNAcentral.
CCUACGGGUGGCAGCAGUGAGGAAUAUUGGUCAAUGGCCGGAAGGCUGAACCAGCCAUGCCGCGUGAAGGUCAGUGCCCUAUGGGCGUUAAACUUCUUUUGUGCGGGAGCAAUAAUGGUCACGUGUGGCCAGACGCGAGUACCGUCCGAAUAAGCAUCGGCUAACUCCGUGCCAGCAGCCGCGGUAAUACGGGGUAUGCAAGCGUUAUCCGGGUUUCUGGGGUGUAAGGGGUGCGUGGGCGGUGAGGUAAGGCAGAGGUGAAAGCCCGCGGCCAAACGUGGGAACUGCCAUUGAUACUGCCUGGCUGGAGUGUAGUUGCGGAAGGCGGAAUGUGUGGUGUAGCGGUGAAAUGCUUAGAUAUCACACAGAACACCGAUUGCGAAGGCAGCCUUCGAAGCUGUGACUGACGCUGAGGCACGAAAGCGUGGGGAGCAAACAGGAUUAGAUACCCUUGUAGUC